Elaeis guineensis (African oil palm) is the source of this 8573-nucleotide non-coding RNA. Lineage: Eukaryota; Viridiplantae; Streptophyta; Magnoliopsida; Arecales; Arecaceae. The record is from RefSeq and is a predicted model, not a curated record.
UAAAUAUAUCUCACUGUUUUAAAUGUCAACUUCACUUAUUCUUGAAGUCUAAGCUGGGUCUUAUUAAGGAAAUGUUUGAGAUUUCUUACUCAGAGAAUUGUGCUGAUUGCUAAUUUAUGGAAAUAUCAUCCUAUGCAACACAAAAUCCUUCUUUCAUAAUCUCUUUGCAUAUAUUCCAUUUAUUAUGUGUUCGAGUUAAUCUCUAGUCAUCUCUUACUCAUUUGUUAUAGUAUGCAGGUUUGUACAUUGUUUCAUCCUCCCAUUGAGCCUCUAUCUUUUAUAGAUAUUAAUGUAGUGUUUACUUUUAGAAGCAUGCUUAUGAAAUUUGAGAGCAUCUUGUUGAAAUCAUGGAUUCAAAAACCACACAGAAUGGGACAGUACCAUAGUACCAUACUGUUUUGAUGCAAAAGUGGCACAAGUAUGGGUGUUGGGGUGUCAGAACCACCCACAUCAGUAUGUAUCUUCCAUACCGAUGCAAACCGAUGGUACAGCACCAACUGUACCAGUUGAUAUUGACAGUUUUUCAUUCAUUUUGAUAUUUUCAAUUUUUACGUAUUGUUGGUACCAGUACCAUACUGAAACCAUACCAUUUCGAUGAAAAAUGGUACACAGUCCAAUACUGGUAUUUAAAACCUAGGUUAUAAUAGUCAUGAGCUUAGGUAUAGCAAUAUGCAUUCAUAUUUAUUCUUUCCCUCAAGUAAUUUGUAUGAUAUAAUUUCAUGAAAGAAGGAUCGACUCUUCUUGGGCAGCCUAGAUACAGUAGCUGUGAAGCUGUUGUUAUGCGUGGUUAGAGUACUUUCUUCUGAAAGUAGGAUAGCAUCCUUAUCAAACAUGUAUGUACAUUACUUUUUAGUGUUUCUGUUGCCACAUAAGACUUGAGCCCUUGUAACCUAUGCAUGGCCAUUUUGAAUUGAAAAUAUCAGUUAGAUUGGGGUGCAUAAAUUGUUUAAUAUCGAUUUUUCGGCUUUUUUUUGUUUUUGGUUUAUAAUUUUUUGGCUAUUCUUUACAACUGGCUCAAAGAACAUAUGUCGGGUAUGUUGAUGGGUUGAACAUGGUCUCAAUACCUCAUGUGUCUGCCAGAGUGAGGUUGUUGUUUUUCUUUGUUCCAUUAAAAGUUUAAGGUUUAUAGUCCCCCCUCCCUAUGGCCUGCACUACAAAUCUGUAUAGUGUCAGGUUGUACUUUCUUCUGCAGGAUAUCACUUGUAUUUUGAAUAGUAUUUUGCACAUUUGAUGCAUGUGGAAAACCCUAUAGGCUUUGGUGUGUUUUGUGUAAUUUACUGGCAAUAGUUCAAAAUGUAGAAACCAAUAUCUUUAGAGCUUCAAAGUCCCUUGUACAUAUUUCCUUCAGCCCUAACAUAAUUAAGCAGUAUGGAAUAUCUGACAAUUAAAGAAACAUGUCAAAUCCUUAAACAAAAUGUCAUAUUAUAUAAAAAAACUUUUUGGUUUUCAAACUUCAAGCUCCAUUGCCCAUUAAGGUUGAUAGUUUGAUACUGAGAGUACUGUUUGAUCACAAGCUUUUAAUGAGUUAAAGAGAAUCUGUGCAAAUUAAAAAGUGAUGAAUAAACCUCCAAUAUCCCUUCUGUGUAAGAAACCUGCUUCCUGAGUGAGGUGAUUGCUUAUAAGUCAUGCUUUUGUGUAUGCAUGAGUGGAAUUUACAAGACACUACCUCAUUUGAUAAAUAUUUCCUCAAGUCUAUCUCUCUUUAAAAUAGGCCUAGAAAAAGAUAAUAAAAUAAUCAGUUAGCAAAGGAGAAACAUUUACGCAGGGGCAUUUUGCAAUAUGUAUAAAAUAUUAUAGGAUAUUACCUUUGAAGCUCUCUAGUUCAUAGUUCUCCAAUCCAUCAGGCUUCUUUAACUCAUACUUUAUUAAAUACCUCCUUGCAUAAAUUAGGAGUUCCUUGUGAAUCAUGAUCCAAUAUUAAAUUUGACAUUUUUGUCAAGUUUUGCUUACCAUCACGGAUUUAGGUCACUAAUCAAGAAUCACAGAAACUUGUAGCAGUCGAGUAUGCAUAACACAUCCAGAACCUUCCGUAAGUGAUUAUGGACAAUGAUCAAAGAAAUGAGGGUUCACAACGUAAAUCAUUCUUUCUUGAGAUAUUUGAUUUAUGAAAAAUUAUUUUCCCUAUCGAAGUUUUAUGCAGGCCUAUAUUGCUGAUAUAGGAAUAUGAAUUCCAUUCAUAUGCCAGUUAAAGGCACAUGCAUGUGAGUUGUAUGACCCAUGUCCUAUAAAGUGUGCUCCAAAUAUUUCUAGUGUAAUUGGCCAAAAGACGUAUUUUAUCAUAGCUCUCUAAAGCAACUGAAAAGUGUAUAAAUAUCCAAGCAGAAAAGUCUAAAAGAAAUUACUUGGAAUUUUUAUCUCCUCCAAAUUUUUUCCACAAUGAUUCUAUAUCCAUGAAGCAAUAAAUGAUCAAUAACCAAAAGAAAACAUCUCAUAGUAUUGCUAUUUCUCUAAACAAAGUUACAAUUACUAUAUUUUUUGGUUCAAACUUCCAUUGUAUUUCAAAGAUGAUUAAACCAUGAAGGUUCUUUAUUAGAUUUGUCUCUCAUGCUACAUUGACCGCUGGAUUGUGACUUAGUGCUAUGUGGUGCCAAUUGAUCAUAAUCCUCUUGUAAGUGUAAGGGUCAAUCCAAUGUACUACAAAUCUAGGAUACAACGUUACAACCAAAAAGUGGACUACAUUAAUUAAUUCAGAUCCAUAAUGCUUACCUCCAUAUUACCAGCUGUUUAACACCUUUGGAGAUAGUCUCAUCAUUCCUCUACUUCACCAACCAUCAAUGAGAAUAUUCCCCUUAAACCUCUUAAAUAAGUUAUUAUAGUGUUCUUUUGAAAAGGAGCUGUGAUAUUUGGGAAGUCAAGGGACUGCAUGAUGCAGCCCAUGGUUUAAUUAACAGAAAAUAAAGGGGAAAUGGGUGAGAAUUUGAAGGGGGGGAUGAAGUGUGGGAGGAGUCCACCUCCUUGGAUAGACCUUAGAUAAGAUCAAAUCCAGAAAACUUAGUAAACGACUCUGGAAAAAGUACCAGUUUAUUUCAGACUCUGUAAAUAUUUUUUCACUAUCUGAAAAUGCAUACGAUGGACCUUAUAUAGACUCUUAGAAGUUUCAGGAUAGUUACAGACCUUCAGACCAGACUUUUGACCAAUAAAUGACCUUGGGACUAGACUCUUAACUAAUAAAUGCAUCCUAAUAAAAACACUCUGGAAAGACUAAAUGACUCUUAGGAUAACCUGAAAAUUUGACUGAGAAAUUCUAGAAUAAUCUAAGGAAAUAUCUGCUGAAAAUAUCUAGCUGAAUCUAAGAAACUAUCUGACUUAUUUUCCAUCAAUCCUCCCUCUGUUGGAAAGAACUCGUCUCCGACUAGUGAAAAGGUUGAUAUCGAUCAAAAAGUUCUGGGUCACAGCACUGAAAAUCUGAAGCAAUAAUCCAAGUACUCUUAGAAAUUGGCUUUCCUUUCCAUUUGAUAAGAAACUUCUUGUAUCUCCCAUUUUUGGUGGAGACAAUCUGUUUAUUAAGAACAUCUUCAAUGACAUCCAUGUUCUUUGGCACCUCUGGAAGUCUCGGAGUUGAAAUAACUGAUGGAGCUUCCUCAUUAUCGCCAUAACAAGGACUAAGAUCCUCAACAUUAAAAAUUGGACUGAUAGUAAGCUCCUCGGGCAGUUCAAGUAAAUGAGCAUUUCCUGCAAGUCGCUUUAGCACUUUGAAAGUGCCUGCUUUUCUUAAAUGAAGCUUUUGGAAUGCCCCCUUUAGAAAGUAUUUUGGCCUCAGGCGAACAAGCACUUUAUCUCCUACUUGAAACUCUACAAAUCUUCUGUGCUUGUCUGCAUCAGACUUGUAUUGCUCAUUACUGGCAGCAAUUUUCUUCCUCACUUCUUCAUGAAUCUCAUGGAUAUGCUUACCAAAAUCCUCAGCUUCUUGACUGGUCCGGCCUUCAAUAGGUAAUGGAACAAGGUUGAUAGGUUGCCGUGGCUUUAAACCUGUGACAAUCUCGAAAGGAGACCAUCCUGUACUUCUGUUAACACUACUAUUGUAAGCAAAUUCUGCUGUUGGCAAGAUCAGAUCCCAUGAUUUCAUAUUUUGCCCCACAAGACAGCGCAAAAGAUUGCCCAAACUGCGAUUGAUGACCUCCGUUUGAUCAUCAGUUUGUGGAUGGUAGGCAUUAAAAAACUUCAGUUGUGUACCCAUAAGUUUCCAUAGGAUUUCCAGAAGUAGCUUACAAAUUUAGCAUAUCCAUCAGAAACUAUGGUCUUAGGAUUUAGGAAGACCAUGUAACCUCACUACUUCGUAGAAGAAGAUUUGGGCAAUUUUUGAUGCAUUUGAUGCCUUCCAACAGGGAAUAAAAUGGGCCAUUUUUGAAAAUCUAUGUACCACGACAAAGAUUGAGUUGUACCCUCUAGUUGUUUUAGGAAGCCCUAAAACAAAAUUCAUAUAUAAAUCUUCCCAUGGUACUUGAGGCACUGGAAGAGGUGUAUAGAGCCUUGAAUUCUGCUUGUGAUCCUUUGAAACUUGACAAACACGUCAUUGCCGAAUAAUCUUUUCAACAUCACACCUUAGCCGUGGCCGAUAGAAUCUAUCCUCCACCAAGGAUGUUGUCUUGUCAUGUCCAUAGUGUCCAGCUAGUCCUCCUGAAUGUAACUCCCAAACGACAAAAUCAUGAGUUGAAGUAUUUGGCAAGCAUAAUCAGUUACCAUAGAAAAGAGAACCGUUCCUCAAACUAAAAUGAGGAUGAGUAACAGCCACGUUUUGCUGCAAAUCUGUAUAAAUUGUCCCAAAAUAGGGAUCACUUGCAUACUUAUUUUCUAACUCUUCAAAACUAGCCUCUUUGAUAGACAUAACAGCCAGCACGGUUGCCUUCUGACUGAGAGCAUCUGCUGCCUUAUUUUCAGCACCUGAAUAAUGUCCGAUCACGUAGAAAAAUUGUUGCAAAUAAGCACCCCACUUGGCAUGCUUGGAGCUUAGGUGCCUCUGGGAAUUAAGAUACUUCAAUGCCUCAUGGCCGGAAUAUAAGAUGAAUUCCUUGUAAGAUAAAUGAUGCUUCCAAUGCUUGACAGCUUGGACUAUAGCAUAGAACUCAAGGUCAUAAGUCAAGUAUUUCUUCUUUGCUUCAUUGAGUUCCUCACUAUGAUAAGCAAUAGGAUGCCCUUGUUGGCUAAGGACUGCACCAAUGCCUAAAUGUGAUGCAUCACAAGUGAGCUCGAACACCUUAUCUAAAUCUGGACUUUUUAAGACAUGUUUCUAUCAUCUUCAUCUUUAUUUCUUGAAAAGCCUGAUCAACUGCCCUCAUCCACACAAAAUUUCCUUUCUUUAGGCAUUCUGUAAUUGGUGCCAUGAUGGAGCUAAGAUUGCGAAUGAAACACCGAUAAAAAGUGGCUAAUCCAUCAAAGCUUCUUACUUCACUUAAUCUGGUUGGUGUAGGCCAAUCAAGAAUAGCCUUCACCUUUUCAGGAUCGGCCUUAUUGCCUUCAGAAGAAAUAAUAAAUCUCAAGAAACUGACACAAUCAGUUAAGGAUGCACACUUCUUCAAAUUGAUAUAGAAAUUCUCCACCCGUAAAGUCAUCAAAACCUUUUUAAGGUGAGUCAGGUGUUGCUCUCUGUUGCUGGUGUAAAUCAGUAUAUCAUUGAAGUAUAUUGCCACAAAUAUUCCGGUAUAGGGCCGUAGGAGAUGUGUCAUUAUCCUCAUGAAGGUGCUUGGUGCAUUUGUAAUCCCAAAUGGCAUCACCAACCAUUCAUAGAGACCAUCUUUUGUCUUGAAAGCUAUUUUUCAUUCGUCACCUGGAUGAAUUCUGAUUUGAUGAUAACCACUCCUGAGGUCAAUUUUUGAAAACACCUUUGCUCCAGCCAUUAAGUCAAGCAUAUCAUCAAGUCUAGGUAUAGGAAGCUGGUACUUGAUGGUUAUUUUAUUUAUGGCUCGACUAUUGAUGCACAUCCUCCAAGAUCCAUCUUUCUUUGGCAUCAAUAAUGCUGGAACAGCACAGGGGUUGAGGUUUUCUCUGAUGAAACCUUUAGAAAGAAGAUCUUCAACUUGCCUUCUUAAUUCUUCAUGUCCAGUUGGGCUCAUUCGAUAGGUCGGCAAGUUUGGAAGUGAAGCUCCAGGUACAAGAUCAAUUUGCAUGUUGAAUUUCACGCAUCGGGGGAAGUCCUUUUGGCAACUCCUCAGGAAUUAAGUCAACAAAUUCUGAUAAUAUUUGCUGAAUAUCAAAAUCUGAAUUAGGUAGUUGAUGUUGAUUGCUCUCCUGUUUCUCCAUUACAACCAAUGCAUAGGUAAGAUCUUCCUUCUUGCUCUCUCCUUCGAACCUCUUUAUGGAUAACGCCUUUACUUCUUUCUUUUCGGCUAAUUGCUUCACCUUGGACUCUUCAUCUUUCAUGGGCAUCAACCUGAUCUUCCUCCACUGGUACAAGGUGUCAAUAUUCGCUUCCCCAUCAUGUAGUAUUUUCCUGUCAUAUUGCCAUGGCCUUCCUAACAGAAUAUGAGCAACCUACAUUGGAAUGACAUCACACCAUACUGUUUUUUUUAUAUCGAUCUCCAGUUGAAAAUGUUACCAAGCAUUGCUUUAUAACUAGAAGAGAGGUAUCAUUGAUCCAAGCAACUUUGUGGGGUUCCGGGUGUUGUCAGGGCUUUAGCUUGAGUUUGUCAACAAGUGCUUGUGAAACAAUAUUUGUGCAGCUAUCUCCAUCAAUGAUGAGCUUCACAACUUGAUCGCUACGUUCAACAUUGGUGUGAAAUAUACUGGCGCAAAGCCAAUGGUCUUCACAUGCUUCUUUUGGUGCUAUUAAGAGUUGCCACAUCAUCAUUGACACUUGUUUUACUCCUGCAACUUCAUCGAUAUCAUCUUCUUGUUCUUCAAGGGCUUGCACCGUAUCAUUUUCUUCUUGAAUGUCAGCAGCCUCUUCCUCUCCACAGAAAGUCAGAUUCUUGCUUGGACACAAUUUUGCAAAAUGGCCCUUUCUCCACACUUAUAACACUCAAUUUGUCUCUCCUGUUUGCUGGAAGUUUCUGCAACAAUUCUUCAUGCAAAAUCUGAAGUUCCAGGAAGACUUUUGCUAAAAUUUGCUUUUAACUGCAGUCUGUUGAGUUCCUAAUUCCUGGCAACAAGGUCCCCUAAUUGAGGUAAUCUCAUCUUAUAUCGAGACAAAAGUUGAUGGUCAUCUUCAUCAACAUGGCACUGAAUGAUAAGUCAUUGAACUUCUCCGUGUAUUCUUCGACUAUCAUUGCUCCUUGCCGUGACUGCAAUAAUUCAUCAUAAAUUGAGUCCUCAUAACCAAGAGGAAGAUACUUCUCUGGUAACUUGAGCUUCAUUUCCUCCCAAUGAAUUAUAGGAGGCUGCCCAAGUCUAUUGAGCCGCUUUUCAGUGCUACACCACCACAUACGUGGUUGCCCCUUUAGUUUCAUUUCACAAAUCUAACCUUUCGAUCUUCAGACAUCUCGUACCAAUUAAAAUAGUCUUCCAUUGUCGUUGUCCAAUCAGUGAAGGAAUGAGGGUCAAGCUUCCUCAAAAAAUCCGGAACAUCAAUCUUAACCUUCUUGGUAAUGUCAUCAUAGGCCCUGUGUUGCUGGAAUAUCUGUCGAUAGUUCCCGGCCAGCCCCCUCUCAACAACAGGCUGAGGUUGAUUAUGUUGGACUGGAUGUUGAUGCAUAAUUCUUCUUGGUGCGCCUGCAUCGCCAGCUUCUACCUCUUAAACAUCUUCAUGAUUUUCAUUGUCAGCCUCAGGUCUUGGGUUUUCUGGAGCUGUUGCCCUUUCUAUCUCCAGAGGCCGUACGAGGUCACCAUCGAGCUGGACAAGGAAGAAUAGUAGACCUGCAAGACAAGUCCCUGGCUAGAAUUGUUGUUGGCAGGGACCCUUUAAUGUUCAAGUCAGUCAGGCAUCAGAGAAUUGUGGAAAGGAGGGAGCGGGAGGGGCUUGAGAGCUUACCUAGGGUCCCCAUUUGCCUCCUAUUAUAGAUGAUGGCCUUUGGGAAUUCCUGCGAAGGGUGGUUGGCAGCUGCAACCACGGAGAUUAUGCUGCUAAUUCCAUGUGGGUGAGCUGUCACCAAACAGUUUUGGGGCGCCUUACUGGCACCAUUCGAAUAUGGUAACAACCCGGGGCACAACCGCCAUCGAGAAUAUCGGUCUGGUGCAAUGCCAGUUCCUCGUUCAAUACUGAGGGGGGUAGGCCGGGCACUUGCUAGGGUGAUCUCCACUUUGGUCACAUCUGAGGUCAGAGGGACUCCCUUUGUCAAGUGCCACUCUUGAGAGCAUUACCAAACAAGAUAAGCCUCUGCACAUUCUUUAAUCAUUUGCAAGAGCUGCAAUUGGAAGGAUUGCAUUGCAGGGAAACAUUAUAUCAAAUUUGUAGCCGUAAUUAUUUAAACUCAAAUUCAAUAUGCACCUUGGUUUUGGAAACAGGCAGAAUUUGUAGUGUCAUGCAUUGUCAUACCAUGUCUGUCCAAUGUGUGUUGUCCUUUGUUUCUUCUCUAGGGAACUUUUGUCAAGUGUUGCUGUUACCUUGCAUGUUUGUCUCCUCUCAGUUGUAUGGGAAUGGUUGUAACUGCAACAAGAUUGUUCAAGAACCUAGACCUCUGGAAAGGAACUCUUAGCAUCAA